Molecule: long non-coding RNA, 986 nt
Organism: Phascolarctos cinereus (koala)
Lineage: Eukaryota; Metazoa; Chordata; Mammalia; Diprotodontia; Phascolarctidae
Source: RefSeq, a predicted model, not a curated record
UAACCAUGUGGCAAAGAAGACCCUCUUUGACUGACUGGAUACUUAGCAAGAACUGGAGUGUAUUCAAAAAGCUCAAGUCAAGCAGAACCUGCCCCUUUGCUUGGUUUAACUUUUUCUUGACUAGCAGCAUUCUGGUGAGAGAAGAGGGACUGUACUGUAAAGCGAUAAACCUAUCCUCUGACAUGCAGCAAUUCCUCUGGCCCGAGGCUGGCUACAGAUUCCCAGAGUGUCCUAGGGGUAUCCCUGAGAGAAUGCCACUAGCCAAGAAGUCAAACCAAAUGAAGUGACAGUCUGGUCAACUACUGCUUUUGAAAUGUACUCUGUUUCUGGCUAUGCAGCCAAUCAAAGAAGUGCCUCUUCUCUAUGUGGUUAGCCGGUCAGAACCAGUUACAGAAUGUCUGUGCAUGCUCCCAAGUCCAUCUGGGGGAUUGCAUCAGCCGAACACUCCACACUUGCUUAUGUGUGCUGAGCUCAUUGGCCAGUCUCCUAUUUUAUUCCUUCAACUCAAGAAACCCCUGUUUCAAUUGCUGCAGUGAGUAGCCCUAAUUUCCAUGCCUAGAUCUUUCCCAUCUCAAAAAUUCGUUUACUGAAAGGACAUCAGGAAGAAUCUGAAAACUUCACUGGGCCUGUAGCAUUGGAGGGCCUUGUGAGAUUUCAAACAGUUGGAAGAACUACCAGAUGUCCAGCAAUCAAAUCUGGAAAGGAACCAGGAGGCCUGAUGAAAGACCUACGUGACCCAUACCAGUAGUGGAUUGACCUGAAGAUAAGACAUGUCCUGAAAACAGGGGAUAACUCCAGUCAUUGACUAUUCCACAUUGAGGAACUUGGUGGGGUGAAUGUUUUAUCAGCAACCUGGUUAAGUUUGAAUCCAUUCUCUCAAGGGAUUGAAGUGGUAGAGGGAAGAGUGUACCAUUGGGUUGAGGGAAUGUGUUUGUAUUUCUGUCCCUCCUACACCUUCUCAGUAAACUUCCCUUUGUAAAAGUUAA